GAUGAACGCUGGCGGCGUGCCUAAUACAUGCAAGUAGAACGCUGAAGGAGGAGCUUGCUCUUCUGGAUGAGUUGCGAACGGGUGAGUAACGCGUAUGUAACCUGCCUGGUAGCGGGGGAUAACUAUUGGAAACGAUAGCUAAUACCGCAUGACAACAGUUAUUGCAUGAUAACUGUUUAAAAGGGGCAACUGCUCCACUACCAGAUGGACCUGCGUUGUAUUAUCUAGUUGGUGAGGUAACGGCUCACCAAGGCGACGAUACAUAGCCGACCUGAGAGGGGGAUCGGCCAAACUGGAAAUGAGACACGGCCCAGACUCCUAAGGGAGGGAGCAGUAGGGAAUCUUCGGCAAUGGACGGAAGUCUGACCGAGCAACGCCGCGGGAGUGAAGAAGGUUUUCGGAUCGUAAAGCUCUGUUGUAAGAGAAGAACGAGUGUGAGAGUGGAAAGUUCACACUGUGACGGUAUCUUACCAGAAAGGGACGGCUAACUACGUG
RNAcentral lists this ribosomal RNA (495 nucleotides) under uncultured bacterium. RNAcentral's name for it is "partial 16S ribosomal RNA". It matches the Rfam family "Bacterial small subunit ribosomal RNA", at positions 28 to 507 of the family's 1533-position model. The record is from RNAcentral.